Molecule: long non-coding RNA, 225 nt
Filed under: Capsella rubella
Lineage: Eukaryota; Viridiplantae; Streptophyta; Magnoliopsida; Brassicales; Brassicaceae
Description: long non-coding RNA (CRUB_LNC003661)
Source: RNAcentral
AAAUUUGUUCACAUUGGAUUUUCUGGUUGAAUAGAUGGAACAGUCUAGCUAUACAGGUCUCUUAGAUAGUUUUUUUUUUUGUUGUUGUUGGCAAACAGGUCUCUUAGUUAGUUUAAUUCUUAAUUACAAGGUUAAAAUAUUUAAUUUACUCAGGAAGAGUGGUUAAAAAAUCCCACCAAACUAAUGGAAUGUGUAUAUUUUAUAUAUACAUAUACAAGAAAAUAG